RNAcentral lists this ribosomal RNA (286 nucleotides) under Eustenogaster fraterna. RNAcentral's name for it is "partial 16S ribosomal RNA". Lineage: Eukaryota; Metazoa; Arthropoda; Insecta; Hymenoptera; Vespidae. The record is from RNAcentral.
AUAAUAAAUUGUUCUUUAAUUAGAUUCUAGGAUGAAUGGGAUAAUGAGAUAAAAUCUUUAUUUUUUAAAUAAAUUGAAAUUAAUUAUUAAAUAAAAAGGUUUAAAUAUUUUUUAAAGACGAAAAGACCCUAAAGAAUUUAAAUAUAAAUAUAAUUAAAUUUUUAAAUAAAUUUUUUAUUGUAUAAUUAUAUUUUAAUUGGGGAGAUUAUUAAAUUUAAUGAACUUUAUAUUAUUAAUCAAUAAUUAUUGAAUUUUUGAUAAGUUAAUAAAUAGAAAAAUUACCUUA